UACGAAGGGGGCAAGCGUUGCUCGGAAUCACUGGGCGUAAAGCGCACGUAGGCGGGUCGUUAAGUCAGGGGUGAAAUCCUGGAGCUCAACUCCAGAACUGCCUUUGAUACUGGCGACCUAGAGUUCGAGAGAGGUUGGUGGAACUGCGAGUGUAGAGGUGAAAUUCGUAGAUAUUCGCAAGAACACCAGUGGCGAAGGCGGCCAACUGGCUCGAUACUGACGCUGAGGUGCGAAAGCGUGGGGAGCAAAC
Molecule: ribosomal RNA, 250 nt
Filed under: uncultured bacterium
Lineage: Bacteria
Description: partial 16S ribosomal RNA
Rfam family: Bacterial small subunit ribosomal RNA
Source: RNAcentral